GCGGGAUUAGUUUAGUGGUAAAAUGAGUCCUUCCCAAGGAUUAGACGCGAGUUCGAUUCUCGCAUCCCGCA
RNAcentral lists this transfer RNA (71 nucleotides) under Candidatus Nomurabacteria bacterium RIFCSPHIGHO2_01_FULL_42_15. Its description in RNAcentral is "tRNA-Gly". It matches the Rfam family "tRNA". Rfam says of the family: Transfer RNA (tRNA) molecules are approximately 80 nucleotides in length. Their secondary structure includes four short double-helical elements and three loops (D, anti-codon, and T loops). Lineage: Bacteria; Candidatus Nomuraibacteriota. RNAcentral also lists the same sequence under 5 other names. The record is from RNAcentral.